ACCGUCUGCUAAACCCUAAAUCCAAACCGUAACCCUAAACUAAAAAUCCUAUACCCUAAACCCAAACCCAAUACCCUAAAACCUAAACCUAGACCCAAAACCCAAACCCUAUACCCUAAAUCCAAAAUCUAAACCCUAAAACCUAAACCCUCGACCUAAACACAAACUUUAUACCCUAAACCCAAACCGUAGACCCUAAACUCUAAACCUUAAACCCUAAACUCUAAAUCCUAAACCUGAACUCUAGACCCUAAACUCAAAUCCUAUACCGUAAACCUGACUCCUAUAUCCUAAACUCAAACCCUAUACUUUAAUCUAAACUGUAAAUCCUAAACCCAAAUCCUAUACCCUAAAUGUUUGGAUUAAUGUUGAUAUUGUUCUUUUAGAGUUUAAGGUUAGGAUUUAAGGUUUGGAUUUAUAGUCUACGGUUUGGGUUCAUGAUUUAGGAUCUAGAGUUUGGGUUUAAGGUCUAGGGUUUGAGUACUGAAUCUAAAGUUUGGGUUUAGGAUUUAAGGUUUCGGAUUUAGAGUUUAGAGUUUAGAGUUUAGAGUCUAGAGUUUGGGUUUAGGAUAUAUAGUUUGGAUUUAGGGUAUAUAGUUUGGGUUUAGGGUCUAGGGUUUAGGUUUUAGAAUUUAAGGUUCAAAAUUUAGGGUAUAGGGUUCGGGUUUAGUGUCAUGGUUUGGUUUUAGGGUAUAGAGUUUGGGUUUAGGGUAUAAAGUUUUGGUUAAGGAUUACGGUUUGGAUUUAGGGGUUUGCUGACGGCGUUAGCAUCCUUAAAAUUGACGUUAUUUCUUUUAGCUAUUUUAAUUUUUUUAAAAUUAUUUAAUAUUUUUUAUUCAUUAAUUUAUAUGACAUUAUGAUUGGUUAAUAGAGGUGAGGUGAAUUUAAAAGUUUGCUUAAGUUUUGUUCGAAAAGAAAAAGGGUAAACGGGUGGAUGAGCUAUAGCAUUUAUUAAAUUUGUUGGUCUUAUUCUUCUUUCUGUUAGCCUUUGGGACCAAGGCCGUCUCCAAUUAUUUACGGACCCUGUUCAAAAAAAAAUAUUAUUUAUAUAUUUAACGAUGUGAUGGAGUAAUUUUUUAAAAAAUAUAUAACUUUAUUUAUAUAUAUGUAUAUAUAUUUGACGUUUUUUUUUUGAAAUUAUAAGCUCUAAAUUUAGUGCUAUAUUUAAAAGUUUAAAGUUUUAUAUCAUAAUUUAUAUAUUUAUUUACAAAAAUUCUUAAUUUUUCUUUUAUUUUUUAUUCGGAUCCUGUUCGACCGUUCCACUUGCACGUGCUGUUAGACGGCCCUGUUUGGGACCAUAUCGUCAACAUGUUGAAAUCAUGUCGACACGUAUAAACAUUAAACACAUAUAGUUAUACGUUACAAGUUCAAGUUACGUGUUUGCAUAUAGACAGAUUUACGUAGAGAACUGUAAUUCAACCAAAACGUAGAGUAUCGAUAACUUCAUGUAAUACGUAACAAUACUAUCCUAAGCGAUUGUAUAUCAUUAAACAUACGUAGCAACCAUAAUCAAGCAAGGUUUUUUUUUUUGAAAAGGGAAUAAUCAAGCAAGUUUCAAAGAAAAAACUAUAAACAAGCAUGGCCAGGCAUACUUCGAUUAGUUUUUUUUAAUUCCUCUGUUUUUCUACUCCAAAUAAAAGCCACUGUUUUUCUAUUACCUUUGCACAUCACAAAACCGUUUAAUAUUUGUGUUUUUUUUUAAAGCUCAACUACUAAAAAAACAGUUCAACAGCUGGGUUAGAAAAAACAGUAGUGAUUUCCUAUCCAAAUACAUGGGCAAACAAAAAUAAAAAAAACUUGCAGUUUUAGAGAAAACGAACAAAAAUAACAACGUUGUUAUAAUAUACCAGACACUUGCCCGGGUUUCCUUAUAUUAGUUAUAGGUUUGAUUGCGACCGAACCGAGACUGAGUCGACCAUUUAGCCCAAUCUCUAAAAGUGUUGGGACCAUCAACAUCUUUUGAUUCACUCACCUAAAUUCCACUGUUCCACAUAACUCAAAGUCUCAAAACUAGUUUUAUUAGAGAAAUAAGGAAAUGGUUGGCCAAGAGAUAGAGAAGAUAAAUAUUUUUAAUAGAUUAGGGCUUGGUUGUUCCAAACACAAUUUAAUUUCUUUGAGCAACUUUAUUGGCAAGUUUUUUCAAAGAGGGGUUCUUAACUAAUAAAUAUGGUUAUUUAAUAUUAAUCUAAUUACCUAGUUAAAAUGGGAGAAUUUGCUGAAUAUUCAUAAGAGGUAAAAAAAUGAAAAAUAUAGCCAUUAUACAGUAACUCAAGAUGGAUGGGACAAUUUGCGCAAAACAUGACUAAAAUCUCCCUCCAGGCGCGUGCGCUUGAUGUUGAAAUGCAGAAGAUAAAAUUAUCAUACUAUACUACACACUAUUUAGUAUAGUCACACGAAUAAUUUCACUAUAACUAUAAUAUAUUUCAUUUAGAAUAGCAUGGCAAUUGAUGUUAGUUAACAUAAUGAAACACAACCAAAUAAACCCUAAACCUGCUAUCUAAACCACAACUCUAAACACUAAACCCUAAACCCAAACUCUAAACUUUAAACCCAAACGGUAGACUCUUAAACCCAAACCGUAUACCCUAAACCCAAACUCAAAAUCCAAAAUCUUAACCCAAACCGUAAACCAUAGCAUAGCUACCUAAACCCUAAACCAAAACUCUAAACCAUAAACCCAAACCCUAAACACAAAUUCUUAACCCAAACCAUAGAUCCAAACGGAGCUACCUAAACCCUAACCCCCCCUAAACCCUAAACCCAAACCGUAAACCCUUAACCCAAACCUUAAACCCAAAUUGUAAAACCAAACCAUCGCCCAUAACGAAGCUACCUAAACCCUAACCUUGAAGGUCUAAACUCUAAACCCAAAACCCUAAACCCCCUAAACCCAAACUCUAAACCCUAAACCCAAACCGUAAACCCUUAACCCAAACCCUAAACCCAAAUUGUAAA
Molecule: long non-coding RNA, 2955 nt
Filed under: Brassica napus (rape)
Lineage: Eukaryota; Viridiplantae; Streptophyta; Magnoliopsida; Brassicales; Brassicaceae
Description: long non-coding RNA (BNAP_LNC005300)
Source: RNAcentral